RNAcentral lists this long non-coding RNA (2184 nucleotides) under Homo sapiens (human). Its description in RNAcentral is "non-protein coding lnc-DUSP26-14:1". The record is from RNAcentral. Lineage: Eukaryota; Metazoa; Chordata; Mammalia; Primates; Hominidae.
CCCAAGAUGGCGGCUCCUCCGGGCGAGUACUUCAGCGUUGGGAGCCAGGUGUCGUGCCGGACGUGCCAGGAGCAGCGGCUGCAGGGCGAGGUGGUAGCCUUUGACUACCAAUCCAAAAUGCUGGCUUUAAAAUGUCCCUCUUCCAGUGGAAAGCCCAACCAUGCAGACAUCUUGCUCAUAAACUUACAGUAUGUUUCAGAAGUGGAAAUAAUUAAUGACCGAACAGAAACCCCUCCUCCCCUAGCUUCACUCAAUGUUAGUAAGCUUGCCAGCAAAGCACGGACAGAGAAGGAGGAGAAGCUGAGCCAGGCCUAUGCAAUCAGUGCUGGUGUCUCUCUAGAGGGCCAGCAGCUCUUCCAGACCAUUCACAAGACCAUUAAAGACUGUAAAUGGCAAGAAAAAAACAUCGUAGUCAUGGAAGAAGUUGUUAUUACACCCCCAUAUCAAGUGGAAAACUGUAAAGGCAAAGAGGGGAGUGCACUGAGCCAUGUACGCAAAAUAGUUGAAAAACAUUUUAGAGACGUGGAAAGCCAAAAGAUACUGCAACGUUCACAAGCCCAGCAACCACAGAAGGAGGCUGCCCUGUCAUCCUGAGUCCGUACACAUGGAGGACUCUUCCAGCAUCCAGCCAAGGAGGCGCUGGUGGUGGCUUCAGCGGAGGCAGGCCGGGGGAGGGAAGGGAUCCUAUAUGUCCUGUUGGCUCUUAACAAAGGGUCAGCAUUUCCAAAUCUUAGACUUGAACAAACAAAACACCCAACAAAAAAGAACAAGAGAAUAAUUUAAAAGUUGAAUCAUUACUUGACUAACAGACUUCGGUCCACCAUGUCCUUUUCACAGCCCUCUUCUGGAACAGUCACCUUGUUAAUUUUAUUUUUGAAAAUUAUUUUCCCACUCUGCCCUUUACUUCUGACUUUCCUUUCCUAGUUUGUUCCUGCCAUUCUGUUUUUAUAAGUGGCUACACUUGCCUUCUGAAUGAUUGAAAGAAACUUUUACAUCUUUUCUUCCAAAAUAAAAGUAACAAGCUGACUGUGAUUCUUAAGUUGAGACCAGAGCAGCAAACGUCUCACUUUAAAUUUUUGUUUUCUUUUCCUUUUUUUUUCUUUUUUCUUUUUUCUUUUUUUUUUUUUUUGCACAGGGCAUGGCUUGAAUUAGUUUUAUUUUUCUUAACUUUAAAUAUAUAUAUGAAAAUAUAUAUUAAAAUGUUCUCUAAAUAUUUUCUGCUUCUUGCAGGUCUCUUUUUACUAGAUCAUGGCUGUUCUUCCCACCUCAUCCCUCUGAAAAUAAAAAUGUAUUGCCCUCUCCACCAUCCAUCAUAGCCAGGCCACUAACUUGACUUGGUGCAAGAGAUUCUUGCUGCGAACUUUGUAGAGCCAGUGUGCAGAUAGAAUUUGGCUUUGAGGGUUCCUGAUGGCUUUUUAGUCUUUAACUGUGUGUGUACCAGUCUCACAUUUGGCCCAAACCUCAGGAUUCUCCCUCUGCCUGUCUUACUUCAUGGUACUAGAAGACCUUCCUCGCCACUCUCUCCACAUGAGAGAGUCAGCUGCCCUUUCUCCUGUGCCUCUGCAGGAAGAACUCUCUUGCAUGGCACAUCUCAGCUCCUCAUUGAGGGAUAGUUUUCUUUGAUAAGAAACCUGGAGUCCAUUUACUCUGACCUCUCUUUAAAUCUAUAUCCAGAGCCACUAGCCCAGGAAAAACUUGGGUGACCCGUAAUUUCUCUUCUCCUGCUGUCCUUUUGCUCUUACGCCCCACCCCAACUCCCCUUAAAUUUUACAGGCUUAUGACAGUUUGUAUGUGCUCAGCCAAUGAGCAGAAAACCUGGAAAGAAUUUCUGGACUUUAGCCCACCAGUUUGUCUGGUUGACUAACCUGCUGAGAGCUAAAAUUGGCACCCAUUGCCCCGUGCCUUCAGGCAGUCUCCUGGGGCAGAGUAUGCCACCAUCCGAAUAUCAGGCACUGAGUGGGAUGUGGGUGAUGCUCACAUGACUGGCUAGAGCUUUGGGGGUGGGGUGGGGGUUAACUACUAUUUUUUUGGCCAUGAUCUCUUUCCCCUUCCUUUUUUUUUUAAUUAAAUAAAUGGAUCAAAUUAAAUAAUUCAAGCCCUGCCUUCAAAAUGAAAUUUUUUUUUUAGUAUUAUUUAGCAAAAACAAUAAAACCCAAAUUUUUUUAACCAUCAAAAAAAAAAAAA